This 324-nucleotide ribosomal RNA is filed under the name uncultured eukaryote. RNAcentral's name for it is "partial 18S ribosomal RNA". It matches the Rfam family "Eukaryotic small subunit ribosomal RNA", at positions 1470 to 1796 of the family's 1831-position model. The record is from RNAcentral.
CCCUUAGAUGUUCUGGGCUGCACGCGCGCUACACUGAAGCGUUCAACGAGUAUUCACCUUGCCCGGGAGGGUUGGGUAAUCUUUUGAAAACGCUUCGUGAUCGGGAUAGAUUCUUGUAAUUUUUGAUCUUAAACGAGGAAUUCCUAGUAAACGCAAGUCAUCAGCUUGCAUUGAUUACGUCCCUGCCCUUUGUACACACCGCCCGUCGCACCUACCGAUUGAAUGGUCCGGUGAAAUCUCCGGACUGGCGUGAGUCGGAGCAAUCUGACAAACGCCGGAAAGUUGAUUAAACCUUACCAUUUAGAGGAAGGUGAAGUCGUAACA